Molecule: unclassified non-coding RNA, 217 nt
Filed under: uncultured Tomentella
Lineage: Eukaryota; Fungi; Basidiomycota; Agaricomycetes; Thelephorales; Thelephoraceae
Description: sequence contains ITS2
Source: RNAcentral
ACACCUCAACUCUCAUGGUCCGCCAUGAUGAGCUUGGACUUUGGGGGUCUUGCUGGCCUAGCGUCGGCUCCUCUCAAAUGGAUCAGCUUUCCAGUGUUUGGUGGCAUCACAGGUGUGAUAACUAUCUACGCUUGUGGUUUUCUGCCAUGUAACCUUCAGUGAUGGGGGUUCGCUGGAGCUCACAGAUGUCUCUCCUUGGGGAGGACAGCUUUUGAAC